Callithrix jacchus (white-tufted-ear marmoset) is the source of this 99-nucleotide small nucleolar RNA. NCBI's taxonomy places the organism in Eukaryota, Metazoa, Chordata, Mammalia, Primates, Cebidae. The record is from Ensembl.
AUCCUUUUGUAGUUUGUAAGUCUGAUGACUGGUGCUCAUACAUGUGAGAUGUGCCUCUCUCACACCUUGUUAUGACAUCGGCAUAUUACCUGUCUGACA